GAUGAACGCUGGCGGCGUGCCUAAUACAUGCAAGUCGAGCGAACAGACGAGGAGCUUGCUCCUCUGACGUUAGCGGCGGACGGGUGAGUAACACGUGGAUAACCUACCUAUAAGACUGGGAUAACUUCGGGAAACCGGAGCUAAUACCGGAUAAUAUAUUUAACCGCAUGGUUCAAUAUUGAAAGACGGUUUUGCUGUCACUUAUAGAUUGAUCCGCGCCGCAUUAGCUAGUUGGUAAGGUAACGGCUUACCAAGGCAACGAUGCGUAGCCGACCUGAGAGGGUGAUCGGCCACACUGGAACUGAGACACGGUCCAGACUCCUACGGGAGGCAGCAGUAGGGAAUCUUCCGAAAUGGGCGAAAGCCUGACGGAGCAACGCCGCGUGAGUGAUGAAGGUCUUCGGAUCGUAAAACUCUGUUAUUAGGGAAGAACAAAUGUGUAAGUAACUAUGCACGUCUUGACGGUACCUAAUCAGAAAGCCACGGCUAACUACGUG
Molecule: ribosomal RNA, 497 nt
Filed under: uncultured bacterium
Lineage: Bacteria
Description: partial 16S ribosomal RNA
Rfam family: Bacterial small subunit ribosomal RNA
Source: RNAcentral